UGGGGUGAUAGCUCAGUUGGUACAGUGCUUGCCUUGCAUGCACAAGGCCUUGGGUUCAAUCCCCAGCACCUAAA
Molecule: transfer RNA, 74 nt
Filed under: Marmota monax (woodchuck)
Lineage: Eukaryota; Metazoa; Chordata; Mammalia; Rodentia; Sciuridae
Description: tRNA.Ala
Rfam family: tRNA
About the family: Transfer RNA (tRNA) molecules are approximately 80 nucleotides in length. Their secondary structure includes four short double-helical elements and three loops (D, anti-codon, and T loops).
Source: RNAcentral